This 3499-nucleotide long non-coding RNA is filed under the name Nicotiana tabacum (common tobacco). Its description in RNAcentral is "long non-coding RNA (NTAB_LNC005094)". Lineage: Eukaryota; Viridiplantae; Streptophyta; Magnoliopsida; Solanales; Solanaceae. The record is from RNAcentral.
CCACUGCUCCAACAAUCCUUCCAGCAAAGCAAAGGCGAGGCCGCCCACGCAAAGAUGGAGGUGUUGCUAAAAGAGGAAAUUUACAAUCUUCAAUGACUCCUCCACCACCUGAAACCAUUAAAAAAGUUCAACAAAAUGCAGUUGAAGUGAGCCAAAAAGAUGGAGGCAUUGUUGGUGGUAACAACAUUAUAGGACAGAUGGUUUCUGGUGUUGUUGACGGUUGCUUUGAUGCAGGGUACUUCAUCUCAGUACGCGUAGGUAAUAGCGCCACCACACUCCGCGGAUUAGUUUUCCAGCCGGGGCGAUUUGCUCCUAUUACACCAGCAAAUGAUGUUGUCCCUUCAGCUGCAAUGUAUCACAGAAAUCAGGUUGCUACACCACUUUUAAACCUACUGCAAGAAAAGCAGCCAAAUGUUGCACCAGCACAAGUUUUACCUUCUAAGCCAAUGUCAAGUGCAACAUUUGUACCUAAUAACAGUCAAUUUGCUCCUGUUAUGGCACCUCAAUCUGACACUGUUAUGGUAUCUAACGAGCUGCGGAGUAAAAUCAUGCUGCAGCAAAAUCAAGAUCAAAGACAAAUCCAAUCUCAAUCCACCCUUCCAAUGGAAAAUCUUAGAAUGGUUGAACAGGAUGAAGUAAUGCAAGUAUUUGAAGUCACAAACCAAUCACAAGGGGCUGAAAUAAAUGCAGAACCAACUAAAGGUAUGUUUUCAGAAUCCUUAUUAGAACCAAAAGCUAGUGAAGGAACUAGCAAUCAAGGACCUAAGGCUCAAAACCAAGUUAUGGGCUCAACAUUUCAGCCUGCUGUGGACCACCAAUCGAUCGAAUCUGAAUCCAAGAAUGAUAAGCAAACGAAUCAUGAGCAGUCGUAUAUGCAAACGUUACUUCAGCCGGGAGAGUUGGUUUACUGUGAAGCGAAGAAACUUGAGAUACACCGAGCUCCUAUAAACGCUCAAACUCAAGUCGAUUUCCAAGGGCUUUCUCCAAUGAAUGAAGACAUUCAAAUGAAGGAAUGGACGCAAAGCGGACAAGAAAACCAACAGAAUCAAUUCAAUCAAAGUAGUCUAUUUGCGGAACUUAACUCUGUUGCCCAAGAAACACAAGCUGCUGAAACUCAAAUUAUUGAACAGAACCAUACACAUAUGAUGGAGAAACUACAUUAUGUUGAGAUGCCUGAGGCUACUAGUGAGAAUCCAAAUGCUGAUAUCAACCAAGUAGUGGUUACUAGUGAAACUCAAGCGGCAGCUCCAGAAUCGAUUAAGACUUCAAUGGACUUCAUGAUGGAAAAGCUGAGUUACUCAAAGAAUGAGGAAUCUCAAAAUACUCAUGUUGGAACUGAAGUUGAGUUAGGAGUAAAUGCUGCAUCAAAUGAAACCAAGGAAGCAAGUGAUGCUGGUGACAAACUUGUGUUAGGUUCUCAGUUAGCAUCACAGCAAGAAGAGGCAGAGACAGGAAAUUCUGAUCAAUCAGCAAAAGUUGAAACUCAAACUAAAAGUUGUGAUGGUGGCAACAGCAACUUGGAAAUUGUUCACCAAGGCCAACAAAGCCAACCUUGAAGCAGCUUAUAAGUAAAGAUAAAACAAGAUUUGUUUUUCAUCUUUUUUCUAUGUAAGCAGCUGACUGAAGGGGAGCCUUGGAGCAACAGUAAAGUUGUUUCCGUGUGACCUAUUGGUUAUGGGUUCGAGUCGUGGAACCAGCCACUCACGCUGCGUCAAGUAGGCUGUCUACAUCACACCCCUUGGGGUGCGGCCCUUUUCCCGAUCCUACGUAAACGUGGGAUGCUUUGUGCAUCGGGCUGCCCCUUAUAAGCAGUUGAUUGAUAGUUUAGAGCCUUAUCUUCAAGUUAGACUUGGUUUCUUUUUCUUUUUAUUUUGCAAGACUUUUCUGGAAUCACUGACCUCAAUCAUCCCAAUUAUGUAUGCUUUUCCCAUCACUAUGGAGUGUUACUUUGGUGGCUGAGUAGAGUUAGAUAGCCACAUGACUAUCAUUUUGGAACUUGGGAUAUGGAUUCCUCGAUUAUAAAUUUACAAUCUAACCAAGAUAAUGAAAAGUGACACUUUUAUCAUAAAGGAUUUAACUUACAUACACCAACAAUAUAAAACUUUUUUAUAUUAUUAGCAUAACUUAUAUCCCCAGUCAAAAUCUUGACAUGCUGGAUUCCACGUUUCAAAAUAUUUCGGGAAAAAAAUGCACCCCUCUACUUUUGACUAUAUUUGUGAGCUUAAAUGGAGCGAUAUGAUCUGUGAAAAUUCAUAUGACCAACCAUAACUUGCUUGAAAUUGAGGUGUAGUUAGUGUUCUUGUAGCGUCUUUUAACAUAUUGUAGCGGGUAAUCUUUCGUAUCUUCCAGGUUACAUGUAAUUAUUUUCUAGGUGACUUGAUAGUGUAAAAAUUAUUUUACAUUGUCCGUGUGUAAAAGUUGAACUUUACCAAACAAAUAGGAGAAGGGAUAGAACUUAAAAAAGUGACACCUUAAAAGAUCACAUAUUUGUCAUUAUAUCUUCUUUUCUAAUAAUAAUAUUCUGUCUACUUAGGGUUGCACGUUAGAUUCCUUUUACUGUAACGAUUUUCCCAAAAAGAAAUUCCCCUUUACUGGGCAGGUUAAUGAAUUGGUUGUUUCAAUUCCAUUAUUAUGAGGGGAACUACUCCAAUUGAAAAAGAAAUGUAGAAGUUCAGGAAUUAAAUUCUCCCCAAAAGAACUUAUGUAUGAUGCUGCAUCUUCAAUCAAUUUCUAUGCCAUCUUCUUAAGAGAAUUAGAAGCUAUUGCCUUAGUUAAUUAACAAAUAAAUAGAAUUAAAUAAAAUUAACAAAUAUAUAUUUGGCUUACUAGUUCUGCUUUUAGCUCAUGUGUCAACUCUUACUUCCCACUUCCUCAAGUUCUUCUUUCGGUUAUGAUGAGAGUUCCCUUUUCAUUUUGUUUUCUUCUUCUGCCGAAUUCUAGCUAGAAAGAUGUAGAUUACACAUCUAAUAAAAUCUAAUGAGACUUCUCAUGAAUCCAGCUCCAUAGAGGACAAACUAGAUCUUCAAUAAAUUGAACUGAUAGAUAAUCAUGAUAGUAAACUGUUGCACAAGUGUCUCCACUUUAUGGUUUUUUGAUUAUGACGAAGUAGACCUUCACCGGCUUGGAUUGAAAGGAAAGGCUUCGCUUUCCAAUUGCCUUUUGAGCAAGUUCAGGACUCUCUAUCGCUUUCUGCUUGGAGCGAUAGACCAUCUUAUCGCUUUCCAAAGAGGUGUAAAAGCUGAAGAGGUUCCAGGAGUUGCCAAUCAGAGCAACAGUAAACUGACUGAGCUUAGAGAAGUCAUGUAUCUACAUAUCAGACCCCGAUCAAUCUAAUCGAACCAACUAUUUGUUUGAGGCUACAAUUGCUAGAUCGUUGCCCAGGAAUAAUGUGAUAACAUGGGUCUUUGUUACACCAGCUUUGUUAGGUUGGAAAUCUUGCCACUUCAGUCAUUCUCAUGAGCUGGAAGAGAAGAAAGUUCUCAACGUCUAACAACAAAGU